CUAUCUAACUCUGCCUGUCAAAAAGAAGAAAAAUUACAUUGUACAAAAAUGCUUUACAAAAGCAUUACCACAUCUCAUCAUCAAAGAAGUACAGAAAGAUUGAUGAAUAUUUGAGUCCAAGUACCUAUACAUUAAAAAAUGCAAAAAUUUUAAUUCAAAGUUAAGGAAAUAUUCAAAAUUCUUUCAGCUUCAAGUUUCUACCAUUUAAGCUUUUAGAUGUUUCUAGAUCUGUCUCUGGAUCUUGCCCAAAGAUGUGAUUAUCUAUUGUCAAUGCCUAAUAAUGAAGUCUGUCUUCUCUCAUCCCAGAGACAGGGGAAAACUAAACUGCAAGGGAAUAUCCAACAAUAUAAAUCUGUCCAUUGAUAUUAAGAAUCUUCACUAAGUGGGAGGAGAAUAAAUAGAAAACUACCUCUUGGCUAUAAGGAAACCCGAGCAAUUAGGACUAUGUGAGCCAAAUGACAGAAUACAGAGGAUUAAAGAUCUAUUUUCAGUUUGGAUUUAAAUAGAAAAAGCCCAGGAGUCCAACAGAGACUGGGCAGGUCCAUGAUGAGGAAGCAAGAAAGAAAGCAAAGUGGCGGGGGCUCAGUGGAGGCAAAGUGAAGGCGCAGUGGAGACGCCCAAAGAGGAGAUUGGUGUCACCCACCCGGAGAACCAGCUUUUGCAGGUCCUGUUGGUGACAGUGGGGAGACAAAGAUGGACAAGGGUGUGCCUGACCUCUCCAUAUGUUCUGUGGGGCUCCAUGGGAUGCGCAGCCAUGGAGCCCCCACGUCAAGGUCGGUCUGAUAGCUGUUGCUGUGUCUUUAUCACAAGGCAAAUGUUGCUAGUUUCGGUUAGGGCAAUGCUUUCCCACGGUCGGGAAUUUCCAGAGGCACUGAGCCUGUCUCGUAAACAACAAGAUGGUGCCGAGGACCGCGCAGUGAGCCUGCCUGCUGAGUGACAUCUGAUUGGCCCAAGGACGCGUGCAUACUGCGUGAACAGACAGCGGAUUGGAGUGUUCCGUGCAUGGACUUGAGCCCGCUUGCAAUUGGCCGGAUUUUGUAUAUAAGCUGUGUGCUGAGGAAGGAGGGGGCUUUUCUGUCCACUCUCCUCCCUUCAUUCUUUCUCUGUCACUGUUAUUUUCUUAUUAAAAGUCUACUGAAGACUGAUAAGCUGCGAACAGUGUCGUUCCUUUGCGGGCGAGGGAGUGACAAUGUUCCCUUAUA
Non-coding RNA from Oryctolagus cuniculus (rabbit), 1202 nucleotides. Lineage: Eukaryota; Metazoa; Chordata; Mammalia; Lagomorpha; Leporidae. The record is from RefSeq and is a predicted model, not a curated record.